This 253-nucleotide ribosomal RNA is filed under the name uncultured bacterium. Its description in RNAcentral is "partial 16S ribosomal RNA". It matches the Rfam family "Bacterial small subunit ribosomal RNA", at positions 524 to 776 of the family's 1533-position model. The record is from RNAcentral.
UACGGAGGGUGCGAGCGUUGUCCGGAAUUAUUGGGCGUAAAGGGCUCGUAGGCGGUUUGUCGCGUCGGGAGUGAAAACACGGGGCUUAACCCCGUGCCUGCUUCCGAUACGGGCAGACUAGAGGUAUGCAGGGGAGAACGGAAUUCCUGGUGUAGCGGUGAAAUGCGCAGAUAUCAGGAGGAACACCGGUGGCGAAGGCGGUUCUCUGGGCAUUACCUGACGCUGAGGAGCGAAAGUGUGGGGAGCGAACAGG